GAAAACAACACGUAUAACAAUUUGUGAAAGGGUGACAUAGAGAGAUGUCUCUAACAAUUUUUGUUAAGAUGUCAACAAGGAACAAGAGUGAAACCAUUACUGUCCAGAAGUCAGAUGAAUUUUUGAAGAUAUUUGAAACCUUGGCUGGAAGAGUAGGAAUUGAGCUGCAACAUAUUCGGUUGACAUUUAGUGGUAAAGAAUACAGACAUGACCAACCGGAAGCUCGGAAAAGGAUAGAAGAUAUUGGAAUUAAGGACCGCUCUACUUUGUUUAUGGUCUCAAGAUUACCAGGGGGAUAUCUAUAGUCAUACUAACGACAUAGGACAAUACGAAGCAUAAUGACGUAAACUUUACAACCAAAGUAAAAGUGAUAUUCAUUUUUAUAUGUGAAACGAAAUGCAGUAUUUCUCCUCGUUAUUUGAAUAGAUAAUGUGACACUCACCAGAUAUUCAAACAUGUGUUGUAAAGCUUAAAAAAUGAAAUAAAUUCUAAAAUUGUU
Molecule: long non-coding RNA, 499 nt
Organism: Saccostrea echinata
Lineage: Eukaryota; Metazoa; Mollusca; Bivalvia; Ostreida; Ostreidae
Exons: 2
Source: RefSeq, a predicted model, not a curated record